RNAcentral lists this ribosomal RNA (253 nucleotides) under uncultured bacterium. Its description in RNAcentral is "partial 16S ribosomal RNA". It matches the Rfam family "Bacterial small subunit ribosomal RNA", at positions 524 to 776 of the family's 1533-position model. The record is from RNAcentral.
UACAGAGGGUGCGAGCGUUAAUCGGAAUUACUGGGCGUAAAGCGCGCGUAGGCGGCUUUGCAAGUCGGGUGUGAAAUCCCCAGGCUUAACCUGGGAACUGCAUUCGAGACUGCAUUGCUAGAGUAUGGGAGAGGGAAGUGGAAUUUCCGGUGUAGCGGUGAAAUGCGUAGAUAUUCGCAAGAACACCAGUGGCGAAGGCGGCUCACUGGCCCGAUACUGACGCUGAGGCACGAAAGCGUGGGGAGCAAACAGG